RNAcentral lists this ribosomal RNA (404 nucleotides) under Actinomycetes bacterium. RNAcentral's name for it is "Actinobacteria bacterium partial 16S ribosomal RNA". It matches the Rfam family "Bacterial small subunit ribosomal RNA", at positions 355 to 776 of the family's 1533-position model. Lineage: Bacteria; Bacillati; Actinomycetota; Actinomycetes. The record is from RNAcentral.
UGGGGAAUAUUGGACAAUGGGCGCAAGCCUGAUCCAGCCAUGCCGCGUGAGUGAUGAAGGCCCUAGGGUCGUAAAGCUCUUUCACCGGUGAAGAUAAUGACGGUAACCGGAGAAGAAGCCCCGGCUAACUUCGUGCCAGCAGCCGCGGUAAUACGAAGGGGGCUAGCGUUGUUCGGAUUUACUGGGCGUAAAGCGCACGUAGGCGGACGUUUAAGUCAGGGGUGAAAUCCCGGGGCUCAACCCCGGAACUGCCUUUGAUACUGGAAGUCUUGAGUAUGGUAGAGGUGAGUGGAAUUCCGAGUGUAGAGGUGAAAUUCGUAGAUAUUCGGGGGAACACCAGUGGCGAAGGCGGCUCACUGGACCAUUACUGACGCUGAGGUGCGAAAGCGUGGGGAGCAAACAGG